CCUACGGGGUGCUGCAGUGAGGAAUAUUGGUCAAUGGCCGAGAGGCUGAACCAGCCAAGUCGCGUGAGGUAAGACGGCCCUACGGGUUGUACACCUCUUUUGUCGGGGAGCAAAGCGAACCACGUGUGGUUCAUUGAGAGUACCCGAAGAAAAAGCAUCGGCUAACUCCGUGCAAGCAGCCGCGGUAAUACGGGGGAUGCGAGCGUUAUCCGGAUUUAUUGGGUUUAAAGGGUGCGCAGGCGGAGGUGCAAGUCAGCGGUCAAAUUGCGGGGCUCAACCCCGUACUGCCGUUGAAACUGCAUCCCUUGAGUGCGCGAGAAGUAUGCGGAAGGCGUGGUGUAGCGGUGAAAUGCAUAGAUAUCACGCAGAACUCCGAUUGCGAAGGCAGCAUACCGGCGCGCAACUGACGCUCAUGCACGAAAGCGUGGGUAUCGAACAGGAUUAGAUACCCUGGUAGUC
Molecule: ribosomal RNA, 459 nt
Filed under: uncultured bacterium
Lineage: Bacteria
Description: partial 16S ribosomal RNA
Rfam family: Bacterial small subunit ribosomal RNA
Source: RNAcentral